AUGGACAGUCCUGGCGUGAGGCUGGUAAAGCCCCAGGCAGGGAGGCUUCCCAUGCUGACAGAAGUAAUUUACUUGGGGUAUGAAAACUGCUGAGUGUCACAGAAUCACAGUAUCACAGAACUUGGAAGGCACCUAUUAGGAUCACCCAGUCCCUCCCCAGAGAAGGGUCAAAUACAGCAGAUUGAGUGUGCCUUCAGCAAGUCAGCAGUAUCUGCUGAUACACCAGAGGGUUGCGCUGAUACACCAGAGGGACCCCAACAAGCCGGAGAAAUGGGCUGACAGAAACCUCCUGAAGUUCAACAAGAAGUCCUGCACCUGAGGAAAAACAACCCCGUGAACCAGUGUGUGCUGUGGGCCACCCAGAUGAAAAGUUUCUCUGCAGAGAAGGACAUAGGGGUCCUGGUGUCCACCAGAUUGAACGUGAUCCAGCAAUGUGCCCUUGCAGCAAAGAACAGCGAUGGUAUUCUGGGCUGCAUUAGGGAAAGUCUUGCCAGCAAGUCGAGAGAGUUGAUCCUGCCCCUUUAUUCAGCUUUGCUGAGGCCACACCUGGAGUACUAUGUCCAGCUUUCUGUUCCUCACUACUACGAGGAACCUACUGUAUUGUCCCAUCAGCAGAUAACACGGUGGUUAACAUCUCUCACAAGGA
Long non-coding RNA from Pipra filicauda (Wire-tailed manakin), 646 nucleotides. RefSeq lists it as uncharacterized. The record is from RefSeq and is a predicted model, not a curated record. The transcript is spliced from 2 exons. NCBI's taxonomy places the organism in Eukaryota, Metazoa, Chordata, Aves, Passeriformes, Pipridae.